This 702-nucleotide long non-coding RNA is filed under the name Homo sapiens (human). RNAcentral's name for it is "HSALNT0152604". The record is from RNAcentral. Lineage: Eukaryota; Metazoa; Chordata; Mammalia; Primates; Hominidae.
AGCCUCUCUGCCCUCCUGUCUCUGCAGUCUCCAUCAUAUCAGAACAACAACCCAAGAGGUGCUGGUCCAGGCUCCAGACAUACAGAGAAGAAUGAAGCAUAAUCCCUGCCCUGAAGGGUUUCACAGCCUGUUGAUCAGGAAGACAUGUGGAAAGAUACAUAAUAACACCAAAUAUCGCAGGAGCACUGGUCAGAUGCUGGGUGGUUGCCAGACAAGCGAGCCAGAGGAACACGAAGGCCCUGCCAUCGAGGAGCGUGCCAGAUCUCAGGGCCCCUAGACCAGGAGUCCUUCAGGGGGGCCUGCCACACUCCUCAUGUUUCAAAAUGAAUUUCCAUGCUUAACAUUACACCGUCUGUCAAGUUCAAAGAGGCUUCGUGUUUUGUUUGAAACCGGGUCUCGUUGUGUCGCCCAGGUUGGAGUGCAGUGGCACGACCUCAGCUCAUUGCAGCCUUGACCUCCUGGGCUCAAGGGAUCCUCCCACCUCAGCCCCCCAAGUAGCUGGGACUACAGGUAUGUCCCACCACACCUGGCUAAUUUUUGUAUUUUUUGUAGAGAUGGGGUUUUGCCAUGUUGCCCAGGCAGAUUGGUCUUGCACUCCUGAGCUCAAGCAAUCCUCCUGCCUCAGCCUCCCAAAGUGUUGUGAUUACAGGUGUGAGCCACUGUGCCUGGCUGCAGAAGAUUUUUUUUGAUUAAGCCCAUCUC